GGGAGGGUAAUGUCUGGGAAACUGCCCGAUGGAGGGGGAUAACUACUGGAAACGGUGGCUAAUACCGCAUAACGUCUUCGGACCAAAGUGGGGGACCUUCGGGCCUCACACCAUCGGAUGUGCCCAGAUGGGAUUAGCUAGUAGGUGGGGUAAUGGCUCACCUAGGCGACGAUCCCUAGCUGGUCUGAGAGGAUGACCAGCCACACUGGAACUGAGACACGGUCCAGACUCCUACGGGAGGCAGCAGUGGGGAAUAUUGCACAAUGGGCGCAAGCCUGAUGCAGCCAUGCCGCGUGUGUGAAGAAGGCCUUCGGGUUGUAAAGCACUUUCAGCGAGGAGGAAGGGUUUGGUGUUAAUAGCGCCAUUCAUUGACGUUACUCGCAGAAGAAGCACCGGCUAACUCCGUGCC
Molecule: ribosomal RNA, 409 nt
Filed under: uncultured bacterium
Lineage: Bacteria
Description: bacterial SSU rRNA
Rfam family: Bacterial small subunit ribosomal RNA
Source: RNAcentral